AGUUCACAUGUGUACGUCGGAAGUGAUACUUGGGUCUGGCAUUCAAGGACGCUCUCGUUCCUGUUCCAGCGUCUCGCUGGAGUCGGUCGUGGUCCAGGAGUCAAGAGCCCGCCCGGGAGAAGGAGCAGGUCACGGUCUCGGUCCGAAAGGCGCCACCAGAGAAAGUACGGGCGCCACUCGCAGUCUUCCUCGCGGAGCGGGUCGCGAUCCCGUAGGAAGUGUCGCUCUCGGGGAAGGUCGUAUUACAGAAGGGCCUUCUCGAACACGCAGGGUGACAGUACUAGGGCUCUGACCCUGUGGUGUACCCGAAAGAACACAGCACUUGGAGGGAGAGAUCCAGGAAGAGGUCGCAGAGCAGAACCCCGUUUCCUGUAAAAUGGAGCUAUUAGAAAUAGCAAAAGCAAGCGCAGCUAAAUCAUUCGGAACAGCCAACCUUGACUUCCCAGCUAGUCUCAGAACUGUUCCUUGUAUCUAAAGAAAGAAACUGUGGAACAGCUGUACUAAAUACUGCAAAGUUCAAGAACUGCGUGAUGAUCUUUGAAGAGGCCAUAAGGAGCCUAGAAAAGGAUAAACUGUCUGCACCUGCGUUAUUUGAUACUAUGUGUAAGUUGUGACAAAAAACUCACACAGCAAAAAAAUGACUCAUUUUUUGGAAAGAAAACUGCUUUAGAACUGAAAAGAAUGUCACCAGAAAAGGGCAACCAAAUUAAACAGGAUUUUCUCAACUUCUUUACUAGAACAAUAACUCAUUUGGAAUGCAAUUUCGAUUUCACAAGUUCAAAUUACCUCUGUGCUUUAAAACCAUUUUCCCUGAGAAAGAGAGGUUUAACUUACAAGGACAUUCAAUGUGCUUCAGAAUGUUUAAAAAUGAUGGAUAUUUUAGACAUGGAUAACCUCUAUGAUGAAUUUAUAGAUGCAAAGGACCUGAUUGACAAACAGCUGGUCUACCAAAAUAAGCCUGUAGAUAAAAAAUGGAUGGACAUUUUUGGAGAGCUAGAAAUUAAUUCCUGCAAGUCCCAAAACUUGCUGUUGCUAGUAAGUAAAAUCCUAAGUAUUCCACCCUCAAAUAUUUUUAUUGAGAGGAUAUUUAGAUUGAUGUCAUCACAUUGGACAGACACCAUGAAUCAGUGUAAUGUGGGUUUGAUAAGAGCACAACUGCAGGUCAAAGAGAAUUUCACAUUUGACUGUAUUCAGUUUUACCACUACAUAAAAGAAAAGAAGGAUGUCCUAAAGGCAGCAGGCAGUUCAGAGAAGUAUUAUUAGAAAAGGAAACCAAAGGAGUGAAAAGAUCCUGUAUCAUGAGGCAGAAAGGAACAUGCCAUUGUUAUUUUUUAAUAAAUAUAGCAAUGUUUGUUUAAUUAAUCCUAUUGAAUUUACAUUCUCCUUUAAAAAAUUCUUGUUUUUAUGUCUUAAGAAUACAGAAUAAUAUAGCCUAUAAAAUUUAAAUAUUCAAUUGUUUAAAAAAAGUAAAUUGCUGUAUCAGAGGAGGGAAAUGCAUAAAGAUAUUAUUACAUAUUUCUCAUACAUUAUUUAAUUAGUCCUGUUAUUGUCUCUGUUAACUAGUCCUAUUAUUAAAUACUAGCAUUUAUGUAAAUGAAGGAUAAAUUAUACAACAUAUGUAAACACCUGUCUUUCAUAUUUUUAUAUUAAGGUAAUGACACUUGUGUAUAAUUAUU
Molecule: long non-coding RNA, 1676 nt
Filed under: Balaenoptera musculus (blue whale)
Lineage: Eukaryota; Metazoa; Chordata; Mammalia; Artiodactyla; Balaenopteridae
Description: lncRNA (ENSBMSG00010005513.1)
Source: RNAcentral